This is an unclassified non-coding RNA of Saimiri boliviensis boliviensis (Bolivian squirrel monkey), 293 nucleotides long. It matches the Rfam family "Metazoan signal recognition particle RNA". From Rfam's summary of the family: The signal recognition particle (SRP) is a universally conserved ribonucleoprotein. It is involved in the co-translational targeting of proteins to membranes. The eukaryotic SRP consists of a 300-nucleotide 7S RNA and six proteins: SRPs 72, 68, 54, 19, 14, and 9. Lineage: Eukaryota; Metazoa; Chordata; Mammalia; Primates; Cebidae. The record is from Ensembl.
GCCGGGUGCGGUGGCGUGUAGUCCCAGCUACUCAGGGAGGCUGAGGCUGGAGGAUCACUUGAGUCCAGGAGUUCUGGUCUGUAGUGCGCUGUGCCGAUUGGGUGUCUGCACUAGUUCGGCAUCAAUAUGGUGACCUCUCGGAAGCGGGAGACCACCAGGUUGCCUAAGGAAGGGUGAACUGGCCCAAGUCGGAAAUGGAGCAGGUCAAAACUCCGGUCCUGAUCAGUAGUGGGAUCGCGCCUGUGAGUAGCCACUGCAUUCUAGCCUUGGCAACAUAGCGAGACCCCGUCUCU